This 253-nucleotide ribosomal RNA is filed under the name uncultured bacterium. RNAcentral's name for it is "partial 16S ribosomal RNA". It matches the Rfam family "Archaeal small subunit ribosomal RNA", at positions 474 to 727 of the family's 1478-position model. The record is from RNAcentral.
UACCAGCACCCCGAGUGGUCGGGACGAUUAUUGGGCCUAGAGCAUCCGUAGCCGGUUCUACAAGUCUUCCGUUAAAUCCACCUGCUCAACAGAUGGGCUGCGGAGGAUACUAUAGAGCUAGGAGGCGGGAGAGGCAAGCGGUACUUAGUGGGUAGGGGUAAAAUCCGUUGAUCCAUUGAAGACCACCAGUGGCGAAGGCGGCUUGCCAGAACGCACUCGACGGUGAGGGAUGAAAGCUGGGGGAGCAAACCGG